AGAAUCAACGCUGGCGGCGUGCCUAACACAUGCAAGUCGAACGAGAAAGUGGAGCAAUCCAUGAGUAAAGUGGCGCACGGGUGAGUAACACGUGACUAACCUACCCUUGAGUGGGGGGAUAACCUAGAGAAAUCUGGGCUAAUACCGCAUAAUACCUUCGGGUCAAAGGAGCAAUUCGCUUAAGGAGGGGGUCGCGGCCGAUUAGUUAGUUGGCGGGGUAAUGGCCCACCAAGACUAUGAUCGGUAUCCGGCCUGAGAGGGCGCACGGACACACUGGAACUGAAACACGGUCCAGACUCCUACGGGAGGCAGCAGUGGGGAAUUUGCGCAAUGGGGGAAACCCUGACGCAGCAACGCCGCGUGGAGGAUGAAGUCCCUUGGGACGUAAACUCCUUUCGAUCGGGACGAUAAUGACGGUACCGAGAGAAGAAGCCCCGGACUAACUUCGCGCCAGCAGCCGC
Molecule: ribosomal RNA, 461 nt
Filed under: uncultured bacterium
Lineage: Bacteria
Description: SSU rRNA
Rfam family: Bacterial small subunit ribosomal RNA
Source: RNAcentral